UACAUGGGGUGCAAACGUUGCUCGGAAUUAUUGGGCGUAAAGCGCACGUAGGCGGUUCGUUAAGUCGGAUGUGAAAGCCCUCGGCUCAACUGAGGAAGUGCACCCGAAACUGGCGAGCUUGAGUACGAAAGAGGAUCGCGGAAUUCCCGGUGUAGAGGUGAAAUUCGUAGAUAUCGGAAGGAACACCUGUGGCGAAAGCGGACUCACUGGACCAUUACUGACGCUGAGGCACGGAAAGCUAGGGGAGCAAACAGG
This 255-nucleotide ribosomal RNA is filed under the name uncultured bacterium. RNAcentral's name for it is "partial 16S ribosomal RNA". It matches the Rfam family "Bacterial small subunit ribosomal RNA", at positions 524 to 776 of the family's 1533-position model. The record is from RNAcentral.